CAAACGCUGGCGGCGUGUCUUAAGCAUGCAAGUCGAGCGGCAGGCGCAGCAAUGCGCUGAGAGCGGCGGACUGGUGAGUAACGCGUGGGUAAUCUACCUUUGGCAUGGGGAUAGCCACUAGAAAUAGUGGGUAAUACCGAAUACGUUCCCUGGGGGGAGAUUUCAGGGAAGAAAGGGUGCUACGGCACCGGCCGGAGAUGAGCUCGCGUCCCAUUAGCUAGUUGGUGAGGUAACGGCCCACCAAGGCGAUGAUGGGUAGCCGGCCUGAGAGGGUGUACGGCCACACUGGGACUGAGAUACGGCCCAGACUCCUACGGGAGGCAGCAGCUAAGAAUAUUCCGCAAUGGACGAAAGUCUGACGGAGCGACGCCGCGUGGAUGAUGAAGGCCGAAAGGUUGUAAAGUCCUUUUGCUGGGGAAGAAUAAGUGUGGGAGGGAAUGCCCGCAUGAUGACAUGAACCGCGAAUAAGCCCCGGCCAACUACGUGCCACAGCCGCGGUAACACGUANGGGGCGAGCGUUGUCGGAAUUACUGGNCGUAAAGGGCAUGUANGCCGGCUGGNAAGCCUG
This 568-nucleotide ribosomal RNA is filed under the name uncultured bacterium. RNAcentral describes it as "bacterial SSU rRNA". It matches the Rfam family "Bacterial small subunit ribosomal RNA", at positions 30 to 591 of the family's 1533-position model. The record is from RNAcentral.